This 235-nucleotide ribosomal RNA is filed under the name uncultured Candidatus Saccharibacteria bacterium. RNAcentral describes it as "partial 16S ribosomal RNA". It matches the Rfam family "Bacterial small subunit ribosomal RNA", at positions 584 to 818 of the family's 1533-position model. The record is from RNAcentral. Lineage: Bacteria; Candidatus Saccharimonadota.
AAAGCGAAUAGUGAAAUCUGGUGGCUCAACCAUCAACACAUUAUUCGAACUCACAGACUCGAGAGUAGUAGAGGUACCUGGAAUUCCCAGUGUAGGAGUGAAAUCCGUAGAUAUUGGGAGGAACACCGAUGGCGUAGGCAGGGUACUGGACUAUUUCUGACGCUGAGGCACGAAAGCGUGGGGAGCGAACCGGAUUAGAUACCCGGGUAGUCCACGCCGUAAACGAUGGAUGCUA